Molecule: transfer RNA, 74 nt
Filed under: Chloroflexota bacterium
Lineage: Bacteria; Bacillati; Chloroflexota
Also listed under: 1 other name
Description: Chloroflexi bacterium (sediment metagenome) tRNA-Phe
Rfam family: tRNA
About the family: Transfer RNA (tRNA) molecules are approximately 80 nucleotides in length. Their secondary structure includes four short double-helical elements and three loops (D, anti-codon, and T loops).
Source: RNAcentral
GCCGAGAUAGCUCAGCCUGGUAGAGCAGGGGACUGAAAAUCCCUGUGUCCUGAGUUCAAUUCUCAGUCUCGGCA